UCUGGUUGAUCCUGCCAGUAGUUAUAUGCUUGUCUCAAGAUUAGCCAUGCAUGUCUAAGUAACACGAAUUAAAGUGAACCGCAAAAGGCUCAUUAUAUCAGUUAUGGUUCUUAGAUCGUUAACAGUUACUUGGAUAACUGUGGUAAUUCUAGAGCUAAUACAUGCAAUUAAACAUGAACCUUAUGGGAAUGUGCUUUUAUUAGGCUAAACCAAGCGAUCGCAAGAUGUUAUAUUGGUUGAACUCUAGAUAACAUGCAGAUCGUAUGGUCUUGUACCGACGACAGAUCUUUCAAAUGUCUGCCCUAUCAACUUUUGAUGGUAGUAUCUAGGACUACCAUGGUUGCAACGGGUAACGGGGAAUCAGGGUUCGAUUCCGGAGAGGGAGCCUGAGAAACGGCUACCACAUCUAAGGAAGGCAGCAGGCGCGUAAAUUACCCAUCCAGCUCGGGAGGUAGUGACGAAAAUAACAAUACAGGACUCAUAUCCGAGGCCUGUAAUUGGAAUGAGUACACUUUAAAUCCUUUAACAAGGACAAUUGGAGGGCAAGUCUGGUGCCAGCAGCCGCGGUAAUUCCAGCUCCAAUAGCGUAUAUUAAAGUUGUUGCGGUUAAAACGUUCGUAGUUGAACUUGUGCUUCAUACGGGUAGUAAACUUACAUUGUGGUUAGUAUAUACCUUUAUGUAUGUAAGCGUAUUACGGUGGAGUUUUAUAUGUGAUUAAAUACUUGUAUUUUUUCAUAUGUUCUCCUAUUUAAAAACUGCAUUAGUGCUCUUAAACGAGUGUUAUUGUGGGCCGGUACUAUUACUUUGAACAAUUAGAGUGCUUAAAGAGGCUUCAAAUGCCUGAAUAUUCUGUGCAUGGGAUAAUGAAAUAAGACCUCUGUUCUGCUUUCAUUGGUUUUCAGAUCAAGAGGUAAUGAUUAAUAGAAGCAGUUUGGGGCAUUAGUAUUACGACGCGAGAGGUGAAAUUCUUGGACCGUCGUAGACUAACUUAGCGAAAGCAUUUGCCAAAGAUGUUUUCAUUAAUCAAGAACGAAAGUUAGAGGUUCGAAGGCGAUCAGAUACCGCCUAGUUCUAACCAUAAACGAUGCAGCUAGCAAUUGGGUGUAGCUACUUUUAUGGCUCUCUCAGUCGCUUCCGGGAAACCAAAGCUUUUGGGCUCCGGGGGAAGUAUGGUUGCAAAGCUGAAACUUAAAGGAAUUGACGGAAGGGCACCACCAGGAGUGGAGCCUGCGGCUUAAUUUGACUCAACACGGGAAACUUACCAGGUCGAAAUAAGUGUGUAAGACAGAUUGAUAGCUCUUUCUCGAAUCUAUGGGUGGUGGUGCAUGGCGUUCUUAGUUCGUGGAGUGAUUUGUCUGGUUAAUUCCGAUAACGAACGAGACUCAAUAUAUUAAAUAGAUAUCUUCAGGAUUAUGGUGCUGAAGCUUAUGUAGCCUUCAUUCAUGUUGGCAGUAAAAUGCUUAUUGUGUUUGAAUGUGUUUAUGUAAGUGGAGCCGUACUGUUGGUUUGUCCAUUAUAAGGACACUAGCUUCUUAAAUGGACAAUUGCGUCUAGCAAUAAUGAGAUUGAGCAAUAACAGGUCUGUGAUGCCCUUAGAUGUCCUGGGCUGCACGCGCGCUACAAUGAAAGUAUCAACGUGUAUUUCCUAGACCGAGAGGUCCGGGUAACCGCUGAACCACUUUCAUGCUUGGGAUUGUGAACUGAAACUGUUCACAUGAACUUGGAAUUCCCAGUAAGUGUGAGUCAUUAACUCGCAUUGAUUACGUCCCUGCCCUUUGUACACACCGCCGUCGCUACUACCGAUUGAAUUAUUUAGUGAGGUCUCCGGACGUGAUCACUGUGACGCCUUGCGUGUUACGGUUGUUUCGCAAAGUUGACCGAACUUGAUUAUUUAGAGGAAGUAAAGUCGUAACAAGGUUUCCGUAGGUGAACCUGCGGAAG
This 1942-nucleotide ribosomal RNA is filed under the name Drosophila melanogaster (fruit fly). RNAcentral describes it as "SSU rRNA". It matches the Rfam family "Eukaryotic small subunit ribosomal RNA". Lineage: Eukaryota; Metazoa; Arthropoda; Insecta; Diptera; Drosophilidae. The record is from RNAcentral.